Molecule: ribosomal RNA, 497 nt
Filed under: uncultured bacterium
Lineage: Bacteria
Description: partial 16S ribosomal RNA
Rfam family: Bacterial small subunit ribosomal RNA
Source: RNAcentral
GAUGAACGCUGGCGGCGUGCCUAAUACAUGCAAGUCGAGCGAACAGACCAGGAGCUUGCUCCUCCGACUUUAUCGGCGGACGGGACAGUAACACGUGGACAACCUAACUAUCAGACUGGGAUAACUUCGGGAAACCGGAGCUAAUACCGGAUAAUAUAUUGAACCGCAAUGUUCAAUAGUUAAAGUCGGUUUUUCUGUCACUUAUAGAUUGAUCAGCGACGCAUUAACUAGUUGGUAAGGUAACGGCUUACCAAGGCAGGGAUGCGUAGCCGACCCGAGAGGGACAUAGGCCAGACGGGAUGUGAGACACGUUCCAGACUCUUGGGGGAGGCAACAGUAGGGAAUCUUCCGGGAUGGGCGAGAGGGUGACGGAGGAACGCCGGGUGAGUGCUGAAGCUCUUCUGAUCGUAGAACUCUGUAAUUCGUGAGGAUCAAAUGUGUAAGUAACUGGGAUCAUAUUGACAGUACCGGGUGAGAAAGCCACGGCUAACUACGUG